RNAcentral lists this ribosomal RNA (443 nucleotides) under uncultured bacterium. RNAcentral describes it as "SSU rRNA". It matches the Rfam family "Bacterial small subunit ribosomal RNA", at positions 26 to 518 of the family's 1533-position model. The record is from RNAcentral.
AGAACGAACGCUGGCGGCAGGCUUAACACAUGCAAGUCGAACGCCCCGCGAGGGGAGUGGCAGACGGGUGAGUAACGCGUGGGAAUCUACCCAGAACUUCGGAACAACUGAGGGAAACUUCAGCUAAUACCGGAUACGCCCUACGGGGGAAAGAUUUAUCGGUUCUGGAUGAGCCCGCGUUGGAUUAGCUAGUUGGUGGGGUAAUGGCCUACCAAGGCGACGAUCCAUAGCUGGUCUGAGAGGAUGAUCAGCCACACUGGGACUGAGACACGGCCCAGACUCCUACGGGAGGCAGCAGUGGGGAAUAUUGGACAAUGGGCGAAAGCCUGAUCCAGCCAUGCCGCGUGAGUGAUGAAGGCCUUAGGGUUGUAAAGCUCUUUCAGUAGGGAAGAUAAUGACGGUACCUACAGAAGAAGCCCGGCUAACUUCGUGCCAGCAGCCGC